GUUCAUAGCCAUGCUUCUUUGAACAUUCCUGUCAAGUCUCAUUUCAGAAGCUAAGCGGGGUAUGGUCUGGUUAGUACUUGGAUGGAAGAAAAUCCAGGCCGAGGAGUU
Molecule: ribosomal RNA, 108 nt
Filed under: Peromyscus maniculatus bairdii (prairie deer mouse)
Lineage: Eukaryota; Metazoa; Chordata; Mammalia; Rodentia; Cricetidae
Source: RNAcentral